UACGUAGGGUGCAAGCGUUAAUCGGAAUUACUGGGCGUAAAGCGUGCGCAGGCGGUUGUGCAAGACAGAGGUGAAAUCCCCGGGCUUAACCUGGGAAUGGCCUUUGUGACUGCACGGCUAGAGUGUGUCAGAGGGGGGUAGAAUUCCACGUGUAGCAGUGAAAUGCGUAGAUAUGUGGAGGAAUACCGAUGGCGAAGGCAGCCCCCUGGGAUAACACUGACGCUCAUGCACGAAAGCGUGGGGAGCAAACAGG
This 253-nucleotide ribosomal RNA is filed under the name uncultured bacterium. Its description in RNAcentral is "partial 16S ribosomal RNA". It matches the Rfam family "Bacterial small subunit ribosomal RNA", at positions 524 to 776 of the family's 1533-position model. The record is from RNAcentral.